CAUGAAUCUUGACUCAGGAGAGACCGAAUAGACAGAGCUUUCACUCUGUCAUAAAGCCAUACAGAUAUUGCUAAGCACAUACACGCUGUCUCAAGCAUGUGAUCUUCUCAAGAGGAAGUCCUCAGAAGGAGGCAUUGGCAACCCCAUUGGUCACACAUAGUUCAUCUUACAUGCACUUGACAACUGGGUGACAUGGGUUUGCAAGAUGACUUUAUCCAAAGAAAAUAAAAACAUAUCUUUGAACAAAGGGAAGUUUUGUAACUUGGUACAAGGAAUUAAGUGGGGCUUCUAAGUUGGGCUCUUCCCUAAAUUAAAGUAGGUUCCUAAGUGAGGCUUCUGCUUCUUUCAAAAGGGAGAUAGGGACACUGUGGUCCCUGAGGAUUGAUUACAUUGCCAAGCAAGGUUCCAGGUUCUUGAGAAAAAUACAUUCCUCCCUCAGCAUGUAGCUGAUCAUUUAUCUUCUUAAAGGGCUCACAUACAUCUACAAGAGAUGGAAAGAACUCACCAUUCCCAGUUUGCUAAAGUAAGAAAGAGAGUGGAAGAAGAGGGAGGGGGAGGUCUCUUCUCUUGUUUUGUACAGGAAGACUAAAGCCUGUUCUCAAAGUCUAUUUGCUCUCACGAAGUCAGACACUGAUAACUGGAGGUGAAUGUCCCUUGUCGGAUUGCCCAGGGUGGCCCUGGGGUGUCUUCCAUUUGAAGAUAAAGCCUGUGGACUAGAAGUGUGUUUCUUCAAUGUUAUAGGCGUCAUGGGCAGCAUGAAGAAAUUUUCAUCCCCUGCAAAGAUCUGAGGCUCAGACUCAGACCAUUUCCAGGAAUCUCUGGGUCACAGCUGAGGGGAUACAGAGUUGCUCCUGUUCACGGAGACACUUCAUGAAUGUGGGUUGGGCUGAAAGUUGGCAUGCUUCGUGGAGCUCGGAUAGCAGGAAAGCACGCAAACCUGUGGUUUGAGGUUUUUUGCUUCAGGGAGAUGAGACAACUUAUUCAGUUUCCUGAGGACUCCACGCCCUUUUGAGCUUGGGGCCUAUAGAACUAUCCACCUCUGACUGACACUUCCUAGGCGGAGACCGUAGGCUCUAUCCUGGCUGCCUGUCCCAUGGCCUGUGACAGAGAACCUGAGGGGCCAGGGAUGGGCUCCUUUCCCAUUCUGUGUGGCUGGUUGGUCCUGGCUGCUCUGAGUGCAGAAGCCUCUGUCAGCCUGAUGGAGCAAAGCCCCCGGUGGACCCUAGUGCAGACUGGGUGGACAAAGACUCUCCGCUGCAUCCUGAAGGAUUCUCAGUACCCCUGGAUGAGCUGGUACCAGCAAGAUCUCCAGCAACAGCUGCAGUUUCUUGUCAGCCUGAGGAGUGCUGGAGACAAGGAGUCCAUAUCUCUUCCUGGAGCUGAUUACCUGGCCACGAGGGUCAGUGAGACAGAGCUGCUGCUGCAGGUGGCCAACGUGACUCAGGGCAGAACCCUCUUCUGCACCUGCAGUAAAGACACAGUGAGGAACCUUGCUGGGGCAUUUGAAUAA
Octodon degus (degu) is the source of this 1510-nucleotide non-coding RNA. NCBI's taxonomy places the organism in Eukaryota, Metazoa, Chordata, Mammalia, Rodentia, Octodontidae. The record is from the annotation of a RefSeq genome assembly.